This 415-nucleotide RNase P RNA is filed under the name Psychrosphaera ytuae. RNAcentral describes it as "Bacterial RNase P class A". It matches the Rfam family "Bacterial RNase P class A". From Rfam's summary of the family: Ribonuclease P (RNase P) is a ubiquitous endoribonuclease, found in archaea, bacteria and eukarya as well as chloroplasts and mitochondria. Its best characterised activity is the generation of mature 5'-ends of tRNAs by cleaving the 5'-leader elements of precursor-tRNAs. Lineage: Bacteria; Pseudomonadati; Pseudomonadota; Gammaproteobacteria; Alteromonadales; Pseudoalteromonadaceae. The record is from Rfam by way of RNAcentral.
CGAGAUGACCAGACAAUCGCUGCUUUGUCGUUGUGCUGCUCAGUUUACUGAGUGGCAGACGGGCGAAGGGGAGGAAAGUCCGGGCUCCAUUGGGCAGAGUGCCAGAUAACGUCUGGGGGGCGCGAGUCCACGACCAGUGCAGCAGAGAGCAAACCGCCGAUGACUACUUUUGUAGAACAGGUAAGGGUGAAAGGGUGCGGUAAGAGCGCACCGCGCGGCUAGUAAUAGUUCGUGGCACGGUAAACUCCACUCGGAGCAAUUUCAAAUAGGGUCCCAUGUUCCUUUGAGAAUAACGCACGGCCCGUGCGGGGACCGGGUAGAAAGCUUGAGCCAACGAGCGAUUGUUGGCCUAGACGAAUGAUUGUCACUUUAACCUAGUUAAAGCACAGAACCCGGCUUAUGGUCAUCUCGCAAC